Long non-coding RNA from Anneissia japonica, 719 nucleotides. RefSeq lists it as uncharacterized. NCBI's taxonomy places the organism in Eukaryota, Metazoa, Echinodermata, Crinoidea, Comatulida, Comatulidae. The transcript is spliced from 3 exons. The record is from RefSeq and is a predicted model, not a curated record.
CACCCUCAUCAUCCUCAUCGUCAUAAAGUAAUGGCACAUUAGAAAAAGGAUAAUUAAUUGUUUUUUACACUCCAGGUGGCGUUUUACAUAAACAUUACUCAAUGGACUACGAAGGAGACGUUACAAUUAAUAACAAAUCUCAAGACAGACAGUGAAUAUUUAAAUUGGACCUCAUUGCGCUGGACUCCGGCCUAAUGGGCGUUCCAGAUGCUCAUUACGUGAUGUAGACAAAGAAGCCACAACUAUCAGGAGAGAAUAUCCGGACGCAAUCGUGAAAGGGCAACAUAACUUACCAAUUAUUCAUAGAUAGCCAAAAAUUGUGUCACUGCAUCAAGCUUCCUGCCAGCUGGGCUUUCCGGGCAAGAAAUUCUGGAUAUAAAAUUCUGGACAUGAAAUUAAUUAAAAUAUAGUGUAAAUUUAAUUUUUUAAAUGUUUCCUCUGCAAUAAUGUUAAAAAUAAAUAUUAGCAAUGUGUAGUAAUUAUUGUAGGCUUUAUGUUUAUUAAUAUUGUAUUAAUAAACUUAAUGUUUAUCUUAUUAAUAGAGAAAGUAAUCCGUUUGUUGUAAAGAAUAUACGGUAGGCAUGUAGAAUAAUAAGAUAUAACAUUUUGAGAAUUAAAAUCAGAUUUAUUGAUUUUUGCCGGAUGUACAUAAUAUAGGCCUACAGUAUAUAAGUAUAAAAUGUAUGUAUAUUAUAUCACAAAUUAAUUUCAAUGCUUGA